This is a non-coding RNA of Caenorhabditis brenneri, 72 nucleotides long. The record is from the annotation of a GenBank genome assembly. Lineage: Eukaryota; Metazoa; Nematoda; Chromadorea; Rhabditida; Rhabditidae.
GGCGCCAUGGCUUAGUGGUGAACGCGCUUGUUUUUGAAUCUCAUGACCCGAGUUCGAUUCCGUGAGGUGUCA